CGUAGGGUGCGAGCGUUAAUCGGAAUUACUGGGCAUAAAGCGUGCGCAGGCGGUUUGUUAAGAUAGGCGUGAAAUCCCCGGGCUCAACCUGGGAACUGCGCUUAUGACUGGCAAGCUAGAGUACGGCAGAGGGGGGUGGAAUUCCACGUGUAGCAGUGAAAUGCGUAGAGAUGUGGAGGAACACCAAUGGCGAAGGCAGCCCCCUGGGUCGAUACUGACGCUCAUGCACGAAAGCGUGGGUAGCAAACAGGAUUAGAUACCCUGGUAGUCCACGCCCUAAACGAUGUCAACUAGGUGUUGGGAGGGUAAAACCUUUUAGUACCGGAGCUAACGCGUGAAGUUGACCGCCUGGGGAGUACGGCCGCAAGGUUA
RNAcentral lists this ribosomal RNA (372 nucleotides) under uncultured organism. RNAcentral describes it as "bacterial SSU rRNA". It matches the Rfam family "Bacterial small subunit ribosomal RNA", at positions 526 to 896 of the family's 1533-position model. The record is from RNAcentral.